Ailuropoda melanoleuca (giant panda) is the source of this 141-nucleotide small nucleolar RNA. The record is from Ensembl. Lineage: Eukaryota; Metazoa; Chordata; Mammalia; Carnivora; Ursidae.
GCUCUGUGAUGAACCCAUGCGUGUCAUCUGAGCCCGGCUUCCGUGUCCCCUCAGCCCUGGGGGGCGUUCUGCUUUCCAGGGCUGCCAGCGGGCCCAGCGUGGGAGUCGUGGGCAAAGGAUCAGCCUUCGUCUUCUGAGAGU